Molecule: ribosomal RNA, 447 nt
Filed under: Pseudoramibacter alactolyticus
Lineage: Bacteria; Bacillati; Bacillota; Clostridia; Eubacteriales; Eubacteriaceae
Description: bacterial SSU rRNA
Rfam family: Bacterial small subunit ribosomal RNA
Source: RNAcentral
GACGAACGCUGGCGGUAUGCUUAACACAUGCAAGUCGAACGAGAAGUCUUUUAUUGAACCUUCGGGGGAUAUAAGAGACAGACAGUGGCGAACGGGUGAGUAACGCGUGGGCAACCUACCUAUCGGAGCGGGAUAGCCUCGAGAAAUCGGGAGUAAAACCGCAUAACACGGAUAUAUCGCAUGAUGAAUCCGUCAAAACUCCGGUGCCGAUAGAUGGGCCCGCGUCUGAUUAGCUAGUUGGUAAGGUAAGGGCUUACCAAGGCAACGAUCAGUAGCCGGUCUGAGAGGGCGAACGGCCACACUGGAACUGAGACACGGUCCAGACUCCUACGGGAGGCAGCAGUGGGGAAUAUUGCGCAAUGGGGGCAACCCUGACGCAGCAAUACCGCGUGAGUGAAGAAGGUUUUCGGAUCGUAAAGCUCUGUUAUUGGGGAAAGAAAGCAAGGG